This is a non-coding RNA of Oryza nivara, 201 nucleotides long. NCBI's taxonomy places the organism in Eukaryota, Viridiplantae, Streptophyta, Magnoliopsida, Poales, Poaceae. The record is from Rfam.
AAUAAUUAUAAUUUUACACCGUUUAUGUUCAACGUUUAACUGUUCGUCAUAUUUGAAUUAUUUUUAUGAUUAAUAUUUUUAUUGUAUUAGAUGAUAAAACAUGAAUAGUACUUUGUGUGGGAGUUUUUAAAAAAAAUAUAAAAUUUUCAAAUAAAAUGAAUGGUCAAACGUUAGACACGAAUAUCUACGGCUAUACAUUCU